CAGCAAAACCCUACUACACAGCAACCAUUUGCCCAGACCAUUGCCUCACACAAUUCAGGUACACCUCAAGGAAAGAACAGAAAACCACACUCUGUCAGCUGCAACGUCGGGCCGAAGCCUAACAUACCGCCAAUAGAGGUUGCUUCCUUUAAUGUCCUAACCGAAGUCGCCCAAAUGCGCAAAGCGAUCCAAACAGAUCACCGCGAUUCGAGAAUCACACUUCAUCUUAGACACAAGAAAGAGCGAACGUACAUUUAAAGGGACUCGCGUCUUCUCCUCCGAAAAGGGAGCCAGCGAGACACCUCACAUUCUGCCAUCUCUCUCCCUGACUACACAGAAAAAGAAAGGCAAGUUUGAUGUACGGACACUGAUACAGGCAUACUUCCAGGCAUAACCCGAAAGUGCAAUGUGCGUUCAAAAUUUCGAUGACUCACUGAAUUCUGCAAUUCGCAUUACGUAUCGCAGUUCGCAGCGUUCUUCAUCGAUGUGCGAGCCUAGACAUCCACUGCUGAAAGUUGUUAUAGAUUAAAACCAUAAACUUUCGUUUUUGGAGUAUAGAUCAGUAUUAGGUAAAUGGGUUUGAAAAAUACAUCGGCAGACUACAAUUAAGCAGCCCACCUUCGUUCAGCCCUCCCGAAAGAG
Molecule: unclassified non-coding RNA, 642 nt
Filed under: Pythium aphanidermatum
Lineage: Eukaryota; Oomycota; Peronosporomycetes; Pythiales; Pythiaceae
Description: partial contains ITS1, 5.8S rRNA and ITS2
Source: RNAcentral